CAGAUUGUAAACCCGAACAAGUGUUCCAUUAUGUUUGGGCCAAGCUGUUCGGAGGUGAACAAACAGGAGGUGAUGCACACUUUGGAGGUUGUCAAUGCGAGCUUUGAAGAGAAGUACCUUGGUUUUCCUACUCCAAAUGGCCGGUUAUCUAAAGGGAAAUUGAAGAGCGUUCAACAGCAGCUUACCAAGAGAAUAAUCCAAUGGGGGGAGCUCAUGUCUCAGGCGGGAAGAGAGGUCCUUAUAAAGGCCGUAGCACAAGCCCUUCCGACAUUCCUUAUGAGCAUUUUCAAGUUCCCAAGAAGCACAUGCGAUGACCUUGCACGCAUGAUCCGUAGCUACUGGUGGGGCGCAUACAGAGGGAAGAGGAAGACGCACUGGAAGGCUUGGGAUCAC
Molecule: ribosomal RNA, 393 nt
Filed under: Triticum aestivum (bread wheat)
Lineage: Eukaryota; Viridiplantae; Streptophyta; Magnoliopsida; Poales; Poaceae
Description: partial small subunit ribosomal RNA
Source: RNAcentral